UACGGGGGGGGCAAGCGUUGUUCGGAAUUACUGGGCGUAAAGGGCUCGUAGGCGGCCAACUAAGUCGGACGUGAAAUCCCUCGGCUCAACCGGGGAACUGCGUCCGAUACUGGAUGGCUUGAAUCCGGGAGAGGGAUGCGGAAUUCCAGGUGUAGCGGUGAAAUGCGUAGAUAUCUGGAGGAACACCGGUGGCGAAGGCGGCAUCCUGGACCGGUAUUGACGCUGAGGCGCGAAAGCCAGGGGAGCAAACGGG
RNAcentral lists this ribosomal RNA (253 nucleotides) under uncultured bacterium. Its description in RNAcentral is "partial 16S ribosomal RNA". It matches the Rfam family "Bacterial small subunit ribosomal RNA", at positions 524 to 776 of the family's 1533-position model. The record is from RNAcentral.